RNAcentral lists this ribosomal RNA (246 nucleotides) under uncultured bacterium. RNAcentral describes it as "partial 16S ribosomal RNA". It matches the Rfam family "Bacterial small subunit ribosomal RNA", at positions 524 to 768 of the family's 1533-position model. The record is from RNAcentral.
UACGAAGGGGGGCUAGCGUUGUUCGGAAUUACUGGGCGUAAAGCGCACGUAGGCGGAUCGAUCAGUCAGGGGUGAAAUCCCAGGGCUCAACCCUGGAACUGCCUUUGAUACUGUCGAUCUGGAGUAUGGAAGAGGUGAGUGGAAUUCCGAGUGUAGAGGUGAAAUUCGUAGAUAUUCGGAGGAACACCAGUGGCGAAGGCGGCUCACUGGUCCAUUACUGACGCUGAGGUGCGAAAGCGUGGGGAG